AUACCUUUCUCGGCCUUUUGGCUAAGAUCAAGUGUAGUAUCUGUUCUUAUCAGUUUAAUAUCUGAUAUGUGGGCCAUUGGCUCACACGAUAUUAAAUUCAUUUUUUAAUGGGGAAGAUCUAUUAAGGCAGCUUGCUAUCUAGGUCUUUGAGCGUCGCUAAUGUGUUGCACUACUGCAUGGGCCUGGCGCACCCCAC
This 196-nucleotide small nuclear RNA is filed under the name Erythranthe guttata (spotted monkey flower). Its description in RNAcentral is "Mimulus guttatus (spotted monkey flower) U2 spliceosomal RNA". It matches the Rfam family "U2 spliceosomal RNA". Rfam says of the family: U2 is a small nuclear RNA (snRNA) component of the spliceosome (involved in pre-mRNA splicing). The record is from Rfam by way of RNAcentral. Lineage: Eukaryota; Viridiplantae; Streptophyta; Magnoliopsida; Lamiales; Phrymaceae.